Molecule: long non-coding RNA, 688 nt
Organism: Aedes albopictus (Asian tiger mosquito)
Lineage: Eukaryota; Metazoa; Arthropoda; Insecta; Diptera; Culicidae
Exons: 2
Source: RefSeq, a predicted model, not a curated record
UAUGAGCAAAAGACUAAUAGGACACAGAAACAAUGUAAACAAGCUAGAGAAAUUGAUGAACGAACACCAGACUAACACAGAAGCAGCCAAAGAAACACUAAUAGAGACAACCACAGCCCUGAUCCAACACUGCAUACAACACAACCAUAGAUUUAACUUAGACCUAACAGAGAUUAUAGACCACAGCUACAAACCGACACUACUUCCAUUCCUCGAGAUGUGCCACAUCACAAACACAGACCACACAAUUAAUAAACGGACAGACAUUGAUAGACUAAGUAUCACAUACGCAGCAGUGUUGCACAGCAUCAAAAAUUCAUCCAAACGAUACACACUUGACACACAAGAAAAUACUGAAUACGAAACGUAGUUAUUAAGAUAGGGCAGUUUUCGCUACCAACAAAUUUUAAACAUAAUUGAGGGGAUGAUAAAGGCAAAAUUGCGCCAUUGCCAAAUGUCCGUUGAAAGUUAUUACAAGCAAAAUAAAUGUAAAACAAUUAGUUUCCGUAAAUUUUAUUAGAUCAGACAAGUAACUAGACAACAUUUAAAAUGACUAUAAUUUUACAGCAUGUACCAACAAAUUAAUGACAGGACAGUUACAGUUAGACGAAACACAAGACCAAAAACGACCAAAUUAGUUUCCCCCUGAAGAAGACACUAACCCCGUGUCGAAACGUUGGGCAAGUAA